AAGAGUUCUAUAACUCCCAAACCCAUGUGAACAUACCUUACGUUGCCUCGGCAGGUCGCGCCUACCCCGUAGCCUCCUACCCUGUAGGACCUACCCGGUAGACGCGGGUAAGCCUGCCGGCGGCCCAAGAAACUCUGUUUAGUAUUGAAUUCUGAAUCUAUAACUAAAUAAGUUA
RNAcentral lists this unclassified non-coding RNA (175 nucleotides) under uncultured Xylaria. RNAcentral describes it as "sequence contains ITS1". The record is from RNAcentral. Lineage: Eukaryota; Fungi; Ascomycota; Sordariomycetes; Xylariales; Xylariaceae.